This is a long non-coding RNA of Arachis ipaensis, 1461 nucleotides long. RefSeq lists it as uncharacterized. The record is from RefSeq and is a predicted model, not a curated record. Lineage: Eukaryota; Viridiplantae; Streptophyta; Magnoliopsida; Fabales; Fabaceae.
AAUUAAUCCUAAUUUUAAAGUUUCAAAUAAUUUAAACAACUAAAUAAAAACAUAAAAAAAAACUAAAAAUCAAUCAUUCUUUAUCUUCUCUAAUUUCCCUAAUUAUUCGUCCCCUCACUCUGAAGCAAAGCAAAACAUAUAAAAAAAAUAAAAAAUCAAUCGUUCUUCGUCUUCUCCAAUUCUCCUAAUCAUUCUUGCCCCUUCUAAAGCAAAGCAUUGAAAGUCCCAAACCAAAACGCCAAAACCUUAGCCCUAGGUUCUUUGCCGCGGCCGUCCCCAGGUUCUCAGCGCUUCAGCUUCUUCCUCUUCCCCCUUUCCGCAACCCAGGUAGCUCAGCACGUCGUCCCCAUCCUCGUUGGCUUCUCUGUCCGUGGCUUGGACCAUCUCGCCUUCGGGUCACCGCUUGCCAUCGUCUCUGCUCUCGCCGUCGUCUUGCUGGUUGCCGCCGUGUCUCCGUUGAAGGUAUAUAUAUCUUGGGCUAUUCGACAGUGAAGUAGAAGCUGCAAGGUCCUAGUGAAACUUGAUAACAGUCUCACAAUUGUUCUUUUGCUGGUGUAAUUGCUGAUAAGUGCAAUGUUGUUUGCCAAAUCUAUUCACAGUUUGUUCUAAGUUAAUUCUAAACUUUAGUUUGCCAAAAUUUCAUGAGAUCAUCUAUUAUGGGGAAUAUAUAUUUUUCUUUGUUUUCCUAAUAUCAUAGUGUUGUUCUUGAACUAUUAUUAGGUCACAUGAACAUUUAAUUUAGGGGGUCAGAAAAUGACAUAAUUAUUUGGUGAAAAAAAACUGGGUUCUCUAUGCUAUUUGAAGUUCAUAUAUAUCAUCCAUAAAAUUGUCUUAUUAAUAUCUCCAACUUGGGGGUAACUCAUGGUAUGUGGUAGUGGUUUUCGUGUUGCUAUACUUGUUGAUACAAGUUUUAUAUGAAAAUAGCAUGUUCACUACAUCCUUUACCUACUCUGACAGAAUCAGAGGAACCAAAGAAAAAUUAAAAACGUCAAAAGGGGAGAAAUCAGGUUUUCUUGCACCUCUUCAACUAUCUGAUGCCCUUGUAAAUUUCCUUGGUACCGGAGAAAGUGAGUUAUCAAGAGCUGAGGUUAUAAAAAGAAUGUGGGAUUACAUAAAAGGAAACAACCUUCAGCUAUGUCACUUCUUUAAGUUGUUCACUAGCCGAACAUUGUUUAAUUAAAGCUCUAAUGAUCUCUCCUUUAAAUAGCCAUUUCAAAAGCUUGAAAAGAUGAAUUCAAACCAUCUUACAUUUUUGGCUGCAUAACAUAAUAUUAGCUACAUCAAAGUUAUCAUAGCCAUUUCAAAUGGCACACCUCAAGCAAUGCAAUGUUCAGAUUUCUAGAUAGCUUGUGCCAUAUGCAGUGUUGUGGAACUCAAGAUGCAGAAUUGUGUUUCAAGUUUGAUGUAAACCAAAGGCCUCUGACUUCUCUUAAUCAAGUCAAUCAGUGCUGUUUGACUUUA